This 22362-nucleotide long non-coding RNA is filed under the name Eucalyptus grandis. Its description in RNAcentral is "long non-coding RNA (EGRA_LNC002786)". The record is from RNAcentral. Lineage: Eukaryota; Viridiplantae; Streptophyta; Magnoliopsida; Myrtales; Myrtaceae.
GCCACGCCGAGCGACUACCUCAUGGACUAUCGAACGCCGCCGCACGACCGUUGCACGACCGCCGCACGAUCUCCGCACGACUGCCGCACUCAAAACCAAGCCAAACACUCCAUUUCAAUAGAGCCAAGCCCGUCCCCCUCGUCCACAACGCCUCGCGGAAGAUGAAUAGGUAGAUAAAAUAUUAAAAAAAUAUAUAAAAGAGGCGAAACAGCGAGAAGAAAUGAAGGCAACGCACCCGCAGCGGUGGUGAAGGCGCGAAAGGAGAAUCGAUCGGCGAGCUCGAGUGAGCGGAGGAGAAGACGGAGAGAGAUUACCGCCCACUCGAUGGGAUAUGGAAGAUUUCAGCUAUAAUCUGAGCUCAAGAUCAUCAAAUUUCCCAAUCCCACAAAAAGCCCUAAUUCUCUCGACUUCCCCCUCUUAUAUGUGCCGCGGAGGCGCGGUGGCGGGUUGGAAAUUUCCCGCCUUUUGUGGACAUCGCCUGAAAUGGGGGAGUCGUCGUUAGCCACCUUGUGUUGUCGAAAUUUUUUUGCCAGAACCAGAAGGAGAACCUCCACGAGUAGUAGCGACAAACGCUAAAUUUUCUUCACAAGCCAACACCACGAGAUCGAAACCCCACUCGUCCUCGCCCUCCCCUUAUAAAACAGUCGCCUCUUGCCCCUCAAUCCCUCUAUAACAAUUACAUCAUGGGGGCGAAUUGGUUUUAUGGACUAUAUCAAACAUAAAUGUAAUGAAAUUAUGUAAAAAUUAAAAGAAAUUCUAUAUUACAAAAAAAAAAAUUGAGGGUCAUACUAAAUAUAUUUAUUUCAAGAAUACAAAUUUUGUGUAGUUACCAAAUGCUUUUGAAUGCUUAAAAGCUCGUCUAUAGAAUAGAAGCGAAAAAUAUUUUUUUGGGUAGAAAUUGUCAUCGGGAAUAAAAUAGUUAUCAUACAGACCCUUUUACAAUGACACUUCUAGUAAAUACAACGAGUAAAUUGCCAUACUUAAAACAGAAUUGUGUUUAUUUUUUAUAUAAUUUUUCUUAAAAUAUCUAUGUAAUCAAUUAAACAAUCUACACAAUAGCUCCACCCUUAUUGCGCAAAAAAAGUAGAAUUGGAAGGAAAAUUUCAGGGACACAAUCGAAGACAACGUUAUGUAUUCAUCUUUUAUCUAGAGUACUAUAGAAAGCAAUGAGUUUGAAAUUACAAAAUUAUUUAUAGAGAGAUAUUUAAAGCUCUAAAAUGAGUAUUUAAAUUCGUGGGAAACACCCCACGUCAUUCUCAAUUUGAUACGAUAACCAAAAUUCCAAUAUCGUUAUGGCGAAAUUCCAAUACUUAAAACAGAAUUGUCUUUACUUUCCUUCCCCCCUUCCCCCCUAAUUUGGAUUCUUCCCUGUUUUCGCUUCGAGUGAAAUUAAAAAAAAUAUAUAAUAAAAGGGAAAAUAAAUUACAUUAGAACUCGUUUAGUGACGUGGGACCCACAAAACAUGCAAACCCCGCGUUUUUCUCCAUGGAGGUUCUGGUUCUAGUUCUGACAAAAAAUUUCCGACGACAUAGCAUGGCUGACGACGACACCCCCCAUUACAGUUAAUCCCCCUCGCUUUCUCUAUCUACUUCUUCUGCUGGGUGGAUCCACACACCAGAAUUCAGGCUAUGUCCACCAAAGGCGAGGAGGGCCGAGGGCCGGGGGAAUCUCCACUCUCCCUCAUUUCACUCCACUCCUCACUCCACCCAAUCUAGGGUUUUCGAUCGGAGGACGAUUUGAUUCUCACUUCUUGAAGUCAAAUCGUUUGUCCAGACACCUCUCUCUGGUCCCGUCGACUCUAGUCCCGUCUAUGGUCACCUCUUUUUGGUCGAAUUGCCUCCGAUCGACUCGACUGCUCGUAAGAUCCUAAAUUAGGUUUCUCGCUUUGAUUCCUUCUCAUUGUACCUAUUUUUAGUUGUGAUGCUCACUUAUUGAAGUUGAAUCCUUUGUCCAGUUGCCUCUCUCCGAUUGUGUUGCCUUCAUCACGUCACCUCUGUUUGUACUUGCCUCUCUCAUCGUUGCUUCCCUCGUGCUUGUCUCGCCCUAAACCCAGGUUUCUUGAUUCGAUUCCUUCUCAUUGUACAUUUUCUAUUGUGAUUCUCACUUCCUAGGAAUCAACUUCUUUCUAACGGCUAUUGUUGCGCUGGAUUUUUGUUGCAAAUUUACUAACAACUUAUAUUCUCCUAUAUCAUAGCUCUAACGGUCCUUAUAUUUUCGACAAUCAUUGCUCUUGACAGUCAUUAUAUUAGUUGAAGAUGGAUAUGGCUUCUUGGUUUUCGACAAUUAUAGCUAUGGACUAUCACCACUAUUCCAAGAUUUAUUGUGCAAAACUAGCAAAGAAAAAGAUUUAUUUUCUAGAGAGAAAAUGUGGUUCUAUAGUGAAGUUGUCUUUAGGAUGUUGGUGAAGCGACCUAAAGAUUCUCACAAUGUAUUACUGCAUUAUUAGUUUAGGAAUCUGUCAAUUUAGAAGCAUUUCCUUGCAUUGGUGGUGUUCAUCUUAUAAAGUUUAAUCAUAUUAGGACUGGGAAGGACUCAAAAUCUUACUUCUCAUGUGUUAGAAAUCUGAGUAGGGCUUCUUUAUUAGCAUUGGUUUCAUUAAUAUCCACCGGCCGAUGACCGCUAUCGUUUGCCGGCAGCCUGCCAUCACUAACCACUGCACGAUCGCCGCUUGCUGCCACACAACCGCCGAUCAUUGUUGCCACCGCUGCCGUAGGACCAUUGCCCACAGCACACUGGCCACCACCCCCUCCCACGGCCGGCCGGCGGUGGGAGGCAAUCCUGUAGUGGCGGUCGGUGGCAACGGUCGGCGGUUGUGCAGCAGUCGUGCGGCAAUCGUAUGACGGUCGUGCAGCGAUCAUGCGGCAAUCGUGCGGUGAUUCUGCGACGAUCGUGCAACGGUUGUGCAAUGAUCGUGCAACAGUCGUGCGGCAGUUCGCUACUAACUUGGUUGAGCUUUCUUGAGAUAUAAAGAACAAGUUCUUAAACUUAUAAGCUCAAUUUGGCAUGACUUACAUCCGAGUGAUGGGCAUGGAUAGAAGUUGUUUGGCAUAAAAUUGAUUUGCUUUAUUGAAGUCCCUGUUGAUUAUCUGAAAGUAGAACUAGCUUUGCGAAAUUAUUUCCAAAGAUUGAUAAAAAUUUGGUAAAAAUCAGGCUUCAAAGUAAUUGUUGAACUUAUUAAGAUGGUAUGCCAUGAUGAAUUAAGGCCUUCGGAUGUCCUAGUGAGAAGGCGUGACGAAUGGAUGGAGUUAUGGGUUAGAAGGGCAGGGGAAGACGUAGAAAGAUGUGGAAGGAGACAGUAAGGAAAGAUAUAUUUAAAGUUUACCUAGGAUGUAAAAAUCAGCCCCAAAUGAAGCUCAUUUCUCUUUUCCUAUUUUUUAUUUUAUUUUUCUUUUUAACAUUUUUGUGCUUUCUUUUCCUUUUUUUUUUUCUUCUACCCCUUUCCAGAUUGUCUUCUUCGGGCCCUCUCCUCCCGCAGCCGCGACACGUUGAGGCUCCUGCCACUCCCUUGCCGGAACAACGCCAACUACUCCGUGAGUACCAACCACCCUAAGGAAAGUCGCCGGACCACUACCGCGCAUCGAUCAUCCCCCUCGACCGGCGCCCUCCCUCGUCGGCUACCUAUUUCGGCGACCGCUAACCUAUUUCCGACGGAGUGAGUUGUCGAUUCAAAUACAUGCCAAUAUUUCACGCAAACCGUUCAAAAACACAACGAAUACAGGCAAAGUAACAAUGAUUCAGCAAGCACGGGGGCAAAAAUGAGUGGGUCUGGCGUUAAAACGCAAGUUGCUCUUCAGUUUUUCUUUCAGGAAUUUUCUCGAACACAUGGUCUGCACUACUGAACUUGAAAGAUUCUGGCUCAACCGAGAGCCGAACACACUUCAAAGGUCUUAGGAUACAACGUAUAAGGAGCACGGGAUCAAAGCACAAAGGCGACGUGGACCGGAGCUCACACGAGCACGGGAUCAAAGCACAAAGUAUGUUCUUAUUAAAUCAUGGGGGGGGGGGGGGUAGCCCUUGGUUUUAAUGUUAUUUUAUUUUUGUCAAAUUUUGUCAAAUUUUUUUUUAUUAAUUUUUCAAUAUUUUUCUUAACCCCUUUUUCUUGGGUUGAAAUGCAGGUUCAUGGGNNNNNNNNNNNNNNNNNNNNNNNNNNNNNNNNNNNNNNNNNNNNNNNNNNNNNNNNNNNNNNNNNNNNNNNNNNNNNNNNNNNNNNNNNNNNNNNNNNNNNNNNNNNNNNNNNNNNNNNNNNNNNNNNNNNNNNNNNNNNNNNNNNNNNNNNNNNNNNNNNNNNNNNNNNNNNNNNNNNNNNNNNNNNNNNNNNNNNNNNNNNNNNNNNNNNNNNNNNNNNNNNNNNNNNNNNNNNNNNNNNNNNNNNNNNNNNNNNNNNNNNNNNNNNNNGAAGAUUCGCUGUGCAAAUUGGGUGGUCCUGGACCGCAUCCUACAGUGGCGGUUGACGGCAACGGUCGGCAGUCGUGCGAUAGUCGUGCGGCGAUUGUGCGGCGAUCGUGUGACGGUCAUGUAGUAGUCGUGUGACGAUCAUGCGGUGGCGGUUGACGGUCCGUGAGUAAGAAGAAAAAACAAAUAAAUACAAAAAUUUAUAAAUUUUUACCAAACACAUUUUUAUUCUUUUUCUAUUCCAAGAAUAGAAAUUUUGUAUAAUUACCAAACACCUUAUUUUACUCAGAAAUUGUUCCCGGAAGUGUGAACAGAGAUGAAGGAAUAUUUCCCUUCAGUAAAUUGAAUCGCAAGUCAGGAAAAAUAAGAUUCAAGAGAUAUUCCCAUUGGGUUGAAUCAAUCUGACCAGUCAGAUUAUUGUGCGACAAAGUGAUUUUUGUUAGACUCUUGGACUUGCUGAGUGAUGGAAUUGAACCAGUAAAAUUGUUGAAUGAGAGCUCACCCCGACGUCACUGCUCACUACCACUGCAACGACCUGCGAUCCAGCUACUGCUCGCCGGUCGCCGACGCCGUGCCACCCUCCGCCCAGCAUCGACCAACCUGCUACCCGAAUCCCACACCCAGCUCUGUUGGUUGUCUCGCGCCUGUGUCGACGCUGCUGCUCUCCUCCAUUAGGUAGUUUAUUUUUCAUUUAUUUUAUUUUAUUGUCAUUUAUUUAUUCAUUUUAAAUUUUGUUAUUAUUGUUUAAGUUAGAAUAUGGUUUGUCAAUGUUAAUAUUUGUGCAUUUUGUAGGCAUUAUCCGCUAGGAUUUUGUUCGGAAUUAUUGUAAUUAUUAAUUUAAUCCGAGAGACAUCGGACUAUUUUUUUAAUUAUAUUAUUUUUUGAGCUUUUUGGUAGAAUUUUAAAUCAUUAUAAUUAUUAAUUUGAUCCGUAAGACUUCGGAUAAGAUUUUUAAUUAUUUUGAUCCCUUUGUCGUUAUAAUUAGGGUUAGGAUAAUCGUUAAAUUGACAUGUGAGACAACAUGUUAUUUUUUCGAUUAUUUUAAUCCUUUAUUUUGUUGAUAGUUUAGAUUUAAUAUUUACUUAAUAAUUACUUAUCUUUAAAAAAGCUAAAAAAAUCAAAAUUCGGCAUGAGCAUAUAGGUUUAGUAAAUCAAACAUGUAGGUUUAGUAAAUUAGAAUUUUCUUAGGAUUAUAUUUUUAGGGUUGCAUUUUCAGAAAUAGGUUAGGGUUGGACCUAAAUUAAUUUUUUAGAUAAUGUUUGCACAUUUUAAUUAUCUCAUUUUAAAAAAAAAUAGUUUUCUAAGAUAGGAUAGGGUUUAAGUUAAAUUAAUCCCUAGAAUAAAUUAGAAAAUUAUCCCUUUUUAGAUAGAUUAAGUAGGGUUUUCAUAAAUUCUAAAUUUCAAUAUAAAAAAAUGCAAAAAUACUAGGUGCAUGUUAACUAGUUUGCAUAAUAGGAUCAUUUAAUUAGAAUUUGUUCAUUAGUGAAAUUAGGUCAUGAGGUACAUGUCAAUUAGUUUGCAUAAUAGGCACAUUUAAUUAGAAUUUGCAUAUUAAUAAGAUUAAUUUAUUUAGUUAAGGAAUGCAUUUUUAUAAAAGAAUUCUACAUUUCAAGAAAACCCAAAAAAAUUGUUUGCUUUGUGCGAUACAAUUUAUUUAUUGAGUGUUUGAGCAUCCGUGUGGUCACUUUUUGCAUGAUAGUAAUUUAAGUUAAAAUAAAUCUAAGUUGCCUAGAAAAAACAUUUUUAAAAAAUUAAAAAGAAAUGGUACCAAAAGGGUAUUAAAGUAAUCUAGUAUAACCAAGUUCCCGUACCCUUUGUCUCUAGUUCGUAGGAGUAAAAUAAUUUUCUCAUUAUUUUACUUAGGUGUCUAAUCGACCUAUCGCAAACCGAUUAGUGGCGACUCCUAGAUAAUAAUCUUUUGCAUGUUAAAAAACUUGAACCUUAAGUCGUGAAUUGGUAUGGGCUUGGGAGAGCUCGAGCUAAGUUAAAGACUUAGUAGUCCAUUAACCUAGUUUUAAGUGGUGCACCCGAAAAUUAGGUCGUGACAGCUUGGCGAAAGUAAAGAUACUAAAAGAUAGUGAAUUUGUUUAAUUUGUGUGGAGAGGAAGGGAACUUUCAGGAUAUGCGAUUGUAAUUAUAGGGGAUAAGUAUACUAUCAGUGCCACAAGUUGUGUAUGGCACUCACUUUGGUGCCAAAAGUUUCUGUCAGAUCACUUAAGUGCCAAAAAGUUUGAAAAAUGAUCAUUUUAGUGCCAACUCUGAUCUGGUUGACCAGAAAUUCGACGUGACACUUUUUUAUUAAUUUUUGAAGCUGAUGUGGCUCGCCGAAGAUUACAGUAAGCAUUAUAACAUCAAAACGACGCCGUUUGGUGUCUCUCCCAAUUCAAAACCCUAAAUCUUUGGCUAGUCGCCGUCCUCGACGGCCCCUGCGCUCGGUAGCCACGGCUUUGACCCUGACCCCGACCUCGACGAUGGCCACUUGGCAGCCGUAGCUCCAACCCCAACCCCGACCCCGACCUCAACCCCAAUGAUGGCCACUCGACGGCCGCGGCUCCGAUCCCGACCCCGACGAUGGCCACUCAGCGACCGCGGCUUCGACCUCGAUCCCGAUCCCAACCCCAACCCCAACGAUUGCCACUCGGUGGCCAAGUUGAAGGCCGUGAUCUAGCCGGUGCUUGAGGAGGCCGCCGAUGAGUGCGCCACCAUUGAUGUCUCCCUCUCCAUCUCCAAUCUCUCUGACGAGUGCCUAGCCUGCGUCUUCUAAUAUCUAGGCUCCGGCGACUGGGGCUAGUGCUCCCUCGUGUGCCAUUGAGGGCGUCCGAACAACACCAAGCAACGGCGGCCGAGCGAGUGACGGCGGCCGAGCGAGUGAUGGCGGCCGAGCGACGGCCGAGCGAGCUAGGUCGAAAAAAGCCUAAUUUCAGUUCAAAAAAAAAAAAUUCCCCAAAUGAGUUAAACGACGUCGUUUUUGUGAGAUCAUCCACGUAGGAUGGCAAAAUGAAGUCGUUUUAAAGCAACCAAAACUUUUUUCUUUAAAUAUAAAGCCACAUAAUUAAUCUGGCUAGAAUCUCUCGCCGGUGACACCAAAGUGAUCAUUUUUUCUCCGAUUUGACACUUAAGUGAUCCGACGGAAACUUUUGGUACCAAAGUCAGCACCGUACACAACUUAUGGCACUAAUAAUGUACUUUUCCCAUAAUUAUAGUGAUAAUGUCAUAACUUUUCUCGAGCAGUUCCAGCGAUUGUGCCCAUGUGCUUCCAAUCCAAAAAUCUUGUGCCCAUGUUCCCAUGACAUCAUUAUCUUGUUUCAAAAAUGCAUUUAACUGUCCUACGAUAGCGGUCACUUCAUUCUCUAGUGCCUUCAAACUCGUGAUCCUAUUUUGACGUGUCUUCUCUCGAUACUUUGACAGCUUAUAGAUCUUCCGGUACUCUUAUCUAUUAUCAUUACCUAUUCGUCAUUGUAUAUUGACAAUGGAUUGGCCAUAAUUAUCAGUACGCACUAGCAUUGAUACCAAUUGGUCACGUGCCCAACAAUGCUCGUUGCUUAAACCAGGUGUCGAUGACCCGGUCGCUUUUUUGUGUAAACAUCCCUCAUUCAAUUAAUUGUGAGCAUUCCAGGAAAGUGGAAUCCCAUGUCACAGUGAUAAAAAAAUAUUUUAUCCUUUUAUUUUCUGAUUUUUUGCGCGGACAAUAAUGUAUGCCUUUUUAUAAGGCUCCAUUGCUUAGCGAUUUUAGACUAAAUAGCGCGAUGGAAUCAACACGCUAAGGAUAAUUCAGAUGCCAAAUCUAAUAUUAGCAUUAAAAUAACUUUUAAUAUUGAACUUUAAAUACUCAUUAUGAUUAUCCGAUUAUUGGGAAUUGAUCUAUAAGGAAUUUUAAAGAUUGUUUAAUAAUUCAAUAAUGAAAAUUGCCUGAUUGUUUUUAUAGUAGUUGCUAGAAUGUUCGGUGCACAAAAUUGCGUGAUUUUAUUUGCCUUAUAGAAAAUGAGUUUUUUUGCAUUAAUGGAAAUAAAUUUGAUAAGAAUAACUGCAAAUUAAGUAAUGCCAUAACUAAAAUAAUCCAAUCACUUUCCAUGAAAAUGGGAAGAGAUGACCUACCGCUUUAUUUCAGAGUAUUCUUUCUCCGUUCAACAAUACGAAUUGUAACAUAUAAAUAGCCAUUUAGCAAAUCAUGUCACACAAAGAUUCAGACAAUGGGUCUGAGAAAGGUCCUCCUCAAUUUUUCAUGAAAUUCUACAAGUAUUUCAAUAGUAUUGGUUUAAUCCCUAAUUGUUGCAUGAACAAAAUUGUGGAUAGAAAAAACCUAGCUUUUUGCUCAAUGCAAAAAAGCACAGACAGAGACCACAAGCUAAGCAACUCGAGAGAUCACAUGUUUUGAAUGGCUAUCUUGAUGAAACCAUUGUUAUUCUCAGAACGGCAAAGGAAGAUCAAAUAAGAGCCAAAUUGCUCGAGCAGACAUGUCCACGGAGAUAUCAUCCUUUGUCUACUAAAUCUCCAAGUUAUUAUGUAAGUUCUUUCCUUGAUGACCUAAUUAAAUUCAUAAUGAAUUGUUGUCUUUUGUAUUUUGACACCUAAAUAAUGCCUGUUUUAGGGUUUAAUUGCGUAGAAAAUUAUGAUCAAUUUUUAAUCCCUAAAAAAAAAAUCGUUAAAAUUGCAUAGCAUAUAGAAAAUUAUUUGUUUAUGUCAACGCUCAUUAGUUGGUUUGCAUAUUACUUUUUUGUAGGGGUGUCAACGGUUCGGUAUGGUUCGGUUUUUUUGAAAAAUUGAACCGAACCGAACCGUUUGAAAACUCUCCCAAACCGAACCGAAACCGAACUGAACCAAAUACAAACCGAACCGAAAUUUCGGUUCGGUUCGGUUUUUCGGUUUUUCGGUUUUUGGUUUUCAGUUUUUCUUUUCUUUUUUUCUUUUUUCGUCUUCGUUUGAGGGCAGCGGCAGCCAAAAAGCUUCCAUUUUUCUCUGAGAGUUCGUCCGUCCAUCUUCAUCGAUAAGUACUUGUCUUAUUUUGCUCAGCUAUUGGAUUCGUGAUAAGGCCCUUCUUUUCCAUGUCGUUUUUUUUUGUGGGUCUCUCUGCAAUGCAUCAAGACGAUGGCGGCUAUGAUGAUUGAAUUGACAUAGAAAACAUGAGAAUGAGAGCAAUCGAUGAGAAAGAUCUUUCAAUGAACCCUCUGUAACUCUAAAAACUAAUGCUCUGUUUUCCCCCAUCCUGUUAUGGCCGAUCUCGCGGUGUUCAAUUAUGGGAUGCGACGAUGAAAGUUGGUAGUCAGAGAUGGUGAUCAGUGGAUUCUGGCGUUGAUUGGUGGUGAAGAAACUUUUUGGAACUCGGCGGAUGAAGAGGAGUGACCUUUGAGCGAGCGGUUCACUGACAGAGUCUUCCUUCUUUUUCCCUUCUGCUUUGUUGGAUCCAGAAGCAAUAUUGCAAAGCAAAUAUUCUCUCUCCAACUCUCUGCUUUUUUCAAAUAAUUCAAUUGCCAAAUCACAGAGAUCUACUUGCUCUACUUGCUCUCAUCAACUCUGGUCCCUAGCAUCACAUUCUCCCUCUCUCGCGUUGCUCUGUUUCACGAUCGAAAAACAGAGCAAACGAGUCUCUGCCGAAAUGGACCGGCUCUCUGCAACUAGUCUCCUUCCCCACGUUCGGAGGAGCAAAAGACGACAUCUCCAUGCAACUUUCGCUGAUUUGGGCUCAGAAAAAGAACCGAAUUUUUAAUAGUUUGAUUUUUAUCGGUUUGUGGUUCGGUUCGGUUCGGUUAACCGAUAAAAACCGAACCAAUAAAAAAAUAUUGGUUUUUAAUGAGAAUCGAACCGAAAACCAAACCGAACCGAAAAAACCGAAUUUUUCGGUUCGGUUUUCGGUUCGGAUCUUGACACCCCUACUUUUUUGGCAUGACCAUCGAUUGGGCGACCAGGCAAGCUCCAUUUCAUAGGGCCAGCACGCGACCCGAGAGAGGUGAGAGACGAGAGGGGUAAUGGACCUAAGGGGUUUUUGCGUGUUUUGAAAGGGAUAAAUGUGAAAUUAUAAUUAGUGAGUAAGGAUAAGAUUGGAAAUUGAAAAUUUCACUAAAUUCUGGUCUUUUUUUUUUUGUGCCGGAGGAACCGUUUUCACCGACAGCCGCCACGUAAAAAUUCUGGUCUGUUGCGUGCCAAGAAAAGCCGAAAAGUGAGUUGUUGAAUGUUCCGGGGAACAGAGAAAUCGGAAGCAUUUGGAAAAAUGGAGAUUUUAUCAUGCGCAGCCUUAGAGGCCCAUUGCAGGGUCGUUCCCAAAUGCUGCCUAAGUCUUCAACUUCUAUUGGGAUUUUAAGGGAACCAAACCUGGGAUUUGGAGAAAUAUUCAACUAUAGAGAACUAAUUUGAAUUAAUGGAUCCAAUGGAUGUUCUUUAACUUGCAUGUAUAUGGAGGAUUUAAUCUCUUCUUCGGGUUUCUGUCGCAAUUUAUAUAUGUUUCUUUACUUCUUCCCAAAGUUUGACACCUAAGAAUUUCAAUAUUUUUCUGACCAUUAAAAAGAAGAAGAGAAUUUGAAUAGUUUACGUCCUGUUCUCGUACGAUCAAAACUCGAAAAUGAGACAUAAGGUCUGAAGGAGUCAACAAGUGCCUCUGACAAAACAAUAUGCUGAUAUCGAGAUAUAGAACAACACUGGGCCUCAAAGUCAGAUAUAAAUUUUAUUACUUAUAAAUUAAGUUUAGGGAUAAUAGCACAAACCAUAAAAUUUGACUUAAUGUUCAAUGUAAUCCUAAGCUUUUAAUUUGUUAAAUAUGAUCAAUAAAUAUAACCUCGAACUAUAUAAAAAUAUUCAAUAUAGCCAUUCUAUUAAUUUAAGGUCGGGAACAAUAUUAAAUAUUUUUAUAUAGUCUCGAGACCACAUUGAUUAAAUUAAAAGUCCAUAGAUCACAUUGCAUAUUGGAUUAAAUUUCAAAAAUUAUAUUGAAUAAAUUAAAAUUCUAGGAACCAAGUUGCAUAUUGAAUAAAAAGUUCAAAAACAAUUUUUAUCAUUUUGCCAUAAGUUUAAGGCUAGGUUCGAAGUCCACUGGAGUCUAACUGGUUAGGAUACCCGGCUCUUGCCCGAGAUUGUCCCAGAUUUUAGUCCCAUCAGCGGAAAUUUCUUUUUUAAAAAAAAUAAAAAAGUUAAUUUUCCUCUUCGGCACAAUUUUCAAAUUUCUGUUUUCCUGAAUUAUUUUUCCACCUUCGCUCGUCCUUGUCAAUUCACAGUCCCCCGAGCAUGCAACUUCUGCUAGGACAUCUCUUUCUGUUCAUGCUUGUUUUGGCUACUGCGCGUCGGCGUGGAGUGUUUUUCUGCGUGGCAAAAAUGCGGUUCUUGAUUCGUGCUUCAGUUUUGGAGGUCCAGCAGUAGAGUUGUUUGUGCCAUAGUGUAGUUCUGAAAUAUUAGAGCAUGCACAAUAGCGUAUGAACAAACAUAUAAUUGGCAUUUAUUUAUGUAUUAUGAACAUGCAAAAUAUCCAAGUUAGGGAAGACAUUCAAGCAAGACAUAAAGGCUUAAGUCCACAAAAACAAAUCGUCCCCAACCGAGUCACCAAGUUAUUGCGACCUCUAUCCCUCGUGGUAGCAAUGGUGGACCGCCUCAAAGUUCAGUUAAUAGAUUGCUAAGUUUAAACCUAGCAUGGGCUCUCCAAGCCCAUCAAUUCACCACUUAUGAUCCACGUUUUUAACCUAUAAGUGAUCUCCAUUUAAAAGUCUCCACUAAUUGAUUUAUGGUGAGCCGAUUAAAAACCCAAAUAAAAUAUUGAGAAAAAUAUUUUAAUUCUAUGCAAUCAGAGAAAAUAAGAUUAAGGAUUUGAUUAAUCAACCGAUGUCCUUCUAGUUUCUAAUUUCGUUUAAAGCUUGAAUUUAAUUUUUUUGGGGUAUUUUUCAGUCAUUUUUCUUUGAAAACUCCUCAAAAAUUAUUUUUCUUCAAAAGAAUCAGAAUGUUUGGGUCGGAUCUUUGCCUCCCAAAUCGAAGCCAACCCGAGCCCGCCGGGUUGGGCCCACGGCUGGACAGGACUCAGCGAAUGAGCCCAGUCCGACCAUAACCCCACAAAUAGUAGAAAAUGAAACAAACUCAGCCCACAUCCUAGAGAAGUUGGGUCCAUUCUGAACCAAAAGCCCAGACCCUCUAAAUUAAAAUGAACCUAAGCCCAACCCACAAAUUCCAUUUGAGCCCAGCCCGAGAACGAAGACAUAUUGCCCAACCCGGCCGUCCCGAGUCGCGAUCUUUCACGGCCACAGCGCAGAGUACCGAGGCGAACGGCGUCCCUCAUCUCGGCCCGGCCACGCGCACGUCGCGACGUCACCUCGCAUGCCCGGGCUACGAGCUCGACCUCCGCCCAGCCAGCCAUCGCCGCCGACCGUCGUCGCUGGUCACCGCAACUCCAGCUACGACCACCGAACGGAGGGAUUCGAGAACUCUGUCGAGCAUUUCGUCGAACACUUAUAGUACGCUGGCCAAAAAGGAAGAAUCGAACCAACCGAGGCUCGAGAUCACGGCAGAACUCAUGACGGGCAACAAGCAACGACCAGAGUAGCUUAACAAAGGACAGUCGGAGCUGGAGCUCACGUGAACCAGACGGUCGCGAGCUCCGGCCCGUCAUGCUCGAAACAGGGCAAAAACAGAGCCUGGCUUACCGGAGCUUGGCAAGGGGAAGGAAGUACGGCGGCAGGUGCGGUUGCUAGCGGUCUCUCCCCCCAACUCUCUUUCCUCGCUCGAACUCUCUCUCACCGCCCUCUCUCCUUUUCUCAUAUCUCUCUCUUUCAGCCCCCCUUAUCCGCCAUUUUUUUUCCUCUUCAGCAACCGUGGUCGUGGCCAUGGUGUUUAUAGGCGAGGAGCUCGGUCGACGGAGGUGGCUCAGCCGCAGGAUCUGGGGCACGCCGACCAGCCGUGCUUCGGCCGAACCGGGGUCAAAUCCCUCGUCCAAUCCGUGCGGCAGGACUGCUCUGCAGGCGGCUUGCAGGCGGCUUGCAGGCGUCUGCCCAGCCGUCCCCUCCAUCGCUGUCCUCCUGCUCUUCUCUGCAUGCGGCGUCCUUCGUGCGCGUGAGGCGCAGUGAAGGAAGGAGGAGCGAGACGGGCCGGGCCAAGGGGGGAGCUAGGGCAAGACGGGCCCGGGCCCUCGUGGGGAAGAAAGAAAUUAAAAAAAAGGGGGCUGGGCCCCGAGCCCCUUUCGUUUUUUUUUAAAUAUAAAAAUAAAAGAAAACCCAGUCAAUGCAAAUUAUAUUACCGCCCGCGCGAUGUGUUAUUCAGUGUAAAUAUUUUUGGGUUAGGGCUAGAUUUUUUUUUUUUGGGGUAGGGCUAGAUUGAUUCCUAAUUUUCUAUACAAUUUAAUUUUAAAUAUUUAAUUAAAAGUUAGCCAUUUAGGUCCCUCAGAUUAAAUCCCUUUAAUCCCCUAAUUAGUCGAAGAACCUCCUAUAGUAUUUGAAUCGACUCCAUCUAUCUUAUGUAGAUUGAAUGACGUUCCAAAAUGCCCAAUCUCGUGUCUUACAACCAUGAGACUAACAUCAUAGAAAAUCGACAUAAUAUCAUGUCCAUUUCUUUUUCCGCACUCCCGUAUUUGUACCAACUCAUUGAGGCAAAAUUAGCCGGAAGCAAAAUUUUGUGAGAGGAUGAAUAUCAAGAUCCUUGGCGGCUUGAUCACCUCUUUUAUUUCCUGUCCAAUCUCUUCUUCAACACAGAAUUCUUCAUUAUCUCUAAAGACCCCAGUCCCUACACUUGCCAAUUUAGUGAAAAGGAAAUCUGUGAAUUCAGUGUGAGUAUUUGGACCUCUAAAACUCAAGAAUACUUCAUAUUCGAUAGAGAUAGUUGCUGCUCUACCUGCUUUAGAGUAAAUUUUUCAUGAACAAAUAGGCUUUGUAAUGCCGAAAUUAACUUUUAACAUACAAUAUGAUUUCAUAAUUGUUAUUCUGCUGAAAUAUGUCUAGGAAAUUCCCCCAUUUUCUCUAGGUCAUUAUUUUUGGCAUGUCAUGAUUCUCCAAAAUGAUUUUGAAAGGUUUUCUCCUAAAAAAUUAUUUUCAUUUUUCAAAACCCUUAUUUUAUAUGGCCAAUAGGACGAAAAUACUUCUAUCCAAGAAUGAAUAGGCAAAGCACACAAGUAAUAUAGAUGAAUCCCAUAUUGAACAGUCAUCAAUCCCACACCAAACAGACAUAAAUCCGACACACAUUUGUGCUAAUGCACAAUAAAAAAAGAAGUGAAAGAUACUUCUAAGAAUUGAAGUACUGCAACUGGGGCGUGCCUCACCACCUCAUCAACCAGCAUGUGCCCCAUGUGGCGCCCCAGUCACUACCGCUGGUGGUGCCGCUGCCGCCACCAAUGGUGCCGCCAAUGGAACUCCACUACGCUGCCUGCGCCUACACCAACAAUAGAAUAGGGCGAGGGCGAGAACGAUGAGAGCAGUCGCAAAUGAAAAGGCCAUUGCCGUGAUGGCCAACACCUUAUACUUGUGGUAAUUUGUUUCCGCCCUAUACCGUGGGGGACGAACGGCAUUUUGAAUAUCAAUUAAAAGCCUUGACAACAUAUGCAGGAGAGAAAAUAAAAUAUGGGGUGUUUGAGAGCAAGACAAACAAACACCACACAAUGCAUUCUUGGGACACAGAAUAUAAAAUAGUCGAUUAUAGCCUAAAACAAAUAGAGCUUGAAAAGAUAGGCAACAGAUUCUGAUAAAAAAAUGAUUGUUUUUUAUUUUAUUCCCGGGAAUCGAUUCUGAGUAAAAAAACGCAUUUGAUAACGAAUAAAAUUUCUGAUUCUAGAAUAUAAAAAAUAACAUAAAUGCGUUUUGUAACGAAUAACUGUAUAAAAUUUCUAUUCCAAUUCUUUUUUAAUUACCUUUUUAGAUUAAUGUAAAUUUGAUAUUGAAUUUUCAUAUACCAUUCACUGAUUAAUUAUAUUUUUAUACUAAGUAAUAAAAAGGGAACUUUCCUACCAUACAAGUGAACACGCAAGCUCUGAUUGAUCUUUGGUCAUGGUAGUUCACUCCAUAUAAUCGACCAAAAUAUUUAUCGAACAACAGCUGACAACAACUUAGAUACAUGAAUGAACUACGAAAGAGCUUCAAAACAAUUGAGAGUGCUCGACAUUGCAAGAAUAUAUCCAAAUUCAUUACGAUUAAACCAGCAACAAAUAUAGGCACAACUACCUUAUUGGCUUCAUAAUCGCUGCGUGAAAUCGCCACGCCGAGCAACUACCUCAUGGACUAUCGAACGCCGCCGUACGACUGCCGCACGACUGCCGCACUCAAAACCAAGCUGAACACUCCAUUUCAACAGAGCCAAGCCCGUCCCCCUCGUCCACAACGCCUCGCGGAAGAUGAAUCGGUAGACAAAAGAUUAAAAAAAUAUAUAAAAGAGGCGAAACGGCGAGAAGAAAUAAAGGCAACGCACCUGCAGCGGCAGCGGAGGCGGGAAAGGAGAAUCGACCGGCGAGCUCGAGCGAGCGGAGGAGAAGAUGGAGAGAGAUUACCGCCGACUCGAUGGGAUAUGGAAGAUUUCAGCUAUAAUCCGAGCUCGAGAUCGUCCAAUUUCCCAAUCCCACAAAAAGCUCUAAUUCUCUCGACUUCCCCUUCUUAUAUGUGCCGCGGAGGCGCGGUGGUGGGUCGGAAAUUUCCCGCCUUUUAGCGGCGUGCCAUGUGCAAAGUGAGACUAUACUAACCCCAACCACAGCCAUGAUCACUUACAAGUCGCAGCACUUCUAGGUUGGACUGACAGAACACUACCAAAACUACCGAAUGAAAACUAAAGGUAAAUCCAUGUUAUUGCUCUACAUAAAAGAAACACGAGACAAAGCAAUCCAACACAGAGCAAUCCAAAAGAGAGAGCGACAGAUCGUGCGCGAGACAGAGCAAUCAAGAGAGAGAAAGAGAGAGAGAAAGAGAACCUAAUCUGGCUAGCUCGAUCUAGAAAGAAAACCAUCGAUCGAGCGAGCAGACGUCCGAUCUCCGAGAAAGAACCAAAUCCUCACGAUCUCCAACCGUCGGCGCUCGAUCUCCGAUCUCACGCCAAUGGAGGAAAACCUUCGCCUUCGACUAAAGCUCGGGAAAGAAAAGCGAAAACCGAGAGAUCCAGAGAGGGAGCUCUGAGAGAGAAUCGAGAACUGAGAGUCUCUUUGCUCGAGCAAGCUAACCUCCGAUCUCCAGAAAGAUAGACAUAUCUGCUGUCGCCGUCAUCGUCGAUGUCGCCGAUCAAAGAGCCGAACCCGCUCAAGAGCCACCGAGAGAGAAAAACGAAGAACCAGAGAGAUCAAGCGAGAGCCCCCUCGUGUGGACGAACACCGGUGGAGGUUAUCACUGCUGAGAAGAGAGUGAGAUCCGGCGAUUUAGGGUUUACUCCCAUCUCCCAUCGAAGAGCUCAUCGAGCAAUUACAAAGAGAUAGAGAGAGAAUCCCCGAGAGAGUACGUGAGUCUAGAGGUUUCAAGAGCGCUCGUGAGAGAGAAUUCGCGCGCGAAAAAAUCCGAGCCCCCUCUACGCCAAAAAAUGAGCGAGCCUUUAUAUAUUUUUUUUCAACGUUUUUUUUUCCUUUUUUUUCUUUUUCUUUUCUUUUUGGUUCCUUUUUUUUCUCUUCAUUCAUUCUUCCUUCUUUUUCUUCUUUUUUUUUUUUUUCUUUCUUCUCUCUUUUUUUUUUUUGUUUUUCCUUAUUUCUAUUUUUUUAUCAUUUCAUUUCAAACAUUUUUUUUUUUUGCAAAUUAUUUGUUUAAAAUGUCAACAAAAAAUUUCAGGUGUCAACAAGAUCUCCAGAAACUGGAAGCAGUUGAAGGCCUUUUGCUUGUCGUAAAAUGGCAUCAAGAAUUGCCUUCUCAGGUUUUAGUGAACCCACCCGAGCAAUUAGAAUGCAUCAAUAUUUUCUAACCCUUUUCUCGGUUUGAAUUGCAGGUUCAUGGGAGACAUUCAAAUGACCACACGCUACCCGCCUUACUGUGACCACGGUGAGCGCUAUCCUAUGGCGGUAUUGGCUGUGAUCAUAGGAGUUGUCGUCCUAGUCAUUGGCAGCUUCAUUUUUUGGUGGAUGUUCAAAUGUGGUAGUUGGUCUCUCGUAGCAGCGCCAGUGGUGCUAGCAGAGGCACCUGCUGAGGCACCGGGGGAGGCGCCUGAGGAGGUAGGUGGAGCUCGUGGACAUGGCAUUCACUUUAGGAGCGUCAUCCCCGGAGUCUAGUUAGGUUAUUUGGAAGAUUCGCUUGUGCAAAUUGGGUGGUCCUAGACCGCAAUCUUGCAAUGGCAGUCGACGGUGACGGUCGGCAGUCGUGCGGUAGUCGUGUGGCGAUCGUGCAGCGGUCGUGCGACGAUCGUGCGGCGGUCGUGCGGCGGCAGUUGACGGUCCGUGAGUAAGAAAAAAACAAAUAAAUACAAAAAUUUAUAAAUUUUUACCAAACACAUUUUUAUUCUUUUUCUAUUCCAAGAAUAGAAAUUUUGUAUAAUUACCAAACACCUUAUUUUACUCAGAAAUUGUUCCUGGAAGUGUGAACAGAGAUGAAUGAAUAUUUCCCUUCAGUAAAUUGAAUCACAGAUCAAGAAAAAUAAGAUUCGAGAGAUAUUCCCAUUGGGUUGAAUCAAUCUGACUAGUCAGAUUAUUGUGCGACGAAGUGAUUUUUGUCAGACUCUUGGAUUUGCUGAGUGAUGGAAUUGAACCAGUAAAACUGUUGAAUGAGAGGUCCAAAUAAGUUUGCGAAAGAUUGGUGAAAGAGCUUGGGAUAAUUCCGUCAAAGUUGCAAUUCAUCAAUUCUACUCUUGAUAGAUUUCUGAGAUUACCAAUUGAUUCUGGGAGCCUUCCAGAAAUAUUUGUGAAACUAAGAACUAGUGUCCGAAGAGAACCAUUCUCUGGAAAUUCGGGCAAAGAACCCUAAAGGAGUUUGUUGAAUGAUAGGUCAAGGGUCUAAAGUGUUUGUACCUGGAAGAUUUUAUCAGGGAAUACUCCCUGUAGACCACAAGAAUUGAGAUGCAUAAUAGUUAAAUUGGAGAAGCGGGCAAAGAACUCUAGGACGGUGGUAGACAGAUUAUUGUCGUCCAGUUUAAUCACCGACAGAGAAGGAAUAUUCAUGAGGGAAGAGCAAGAUUCAAUGGGACCUGAUAGAUAACAAUUCUGCUCAAUACUUGAAGCUUCGGCAGUGAAGAAGACAAGGCAUUGCACAAUUCAUUGCCUGUAGCAGACACGAUCACUCCGUCAAGGUACAACUCUCAGCUCUCUAAGAUUCCCAACAAGCAUCUUCAAAUUCGGAUUCUCGAGUUUCAGUGAAGUGAGCCAAGGAAAAUAAUGCAUGGAUACAUCAAGAGUAACCAACCUUGUCAAAUGUGAUAUUCCCAUGAGAACCUGUCCUGUGAAGCCCGCAUUUGAAAGAUUCAGGUACACCAAAUUGGUGAGAUUACUGAACCCAUAUGGGAUCUGUCGCGACCCGAUCUCGCCGCCCCUCGAAAUGGCCAAGGAGGGGAAAGGUCGGGUUUAGGGGUACUUGAUCUCAAGAUCGCGAGCUCUCCCAAGCUCGUACCCCGCGUGACAGUAGGUUUAUUAUGCAAUCUAGUUGUUUAUAACAACCUAAAAUAUAUAGGAGUUGCCACUAGCCUAAUUUUGGGGUCGGCUAGAAACUCAAUCGAGGGUCGGGAGUGUUCCUCGAUUCCUACGUAACCAGAUAUCUAGGUUCGAGAACUUGGGUUACGCUAAUAUUGCUAUUAGCGCCCUUUCGGUACCUAAACAAUAUGUUGUGUUUUUUCCUAACAUGUUCAUCCAUCUCUUUUUAUAUUUUCAGAAUCGUCAAUUCUAUAUUAAAUGAUCAUACAUGGUGGAUUACUUUCCUUCUAUUCUAUUCCUAAAAAAAAGAAAGAAAAACAAUCAAUGAAAAUUAAAUUGCAAGACAUGAAGUAAACAAUCAAGAUAAAACAGUAAACCUAAUCAUGCAAUUCUAAAGAAUAUAAAAGAGAAAACAAUCGAAAAAGAAAUGAAACCCGCAACUCGUCGGGCUUUAUACAAUGCAUGAAACCCGAGACAUAUGUCGGGAAAACGAAUAUUACAUGACAAUGGUCGGAAUGGGCAUCGACCUUCACCAUCUUCACGCUUUAUCCAUGUUCAGGAUCCCUAUUCUAAACCUAGUCUAAGAAAUAAGAAUCCCUUGCCUCAUCUUAUAUGACUAAGACAACGCAUAGAAAUCAUUAUUACAACGAACGGACAUAGGCAUCAGACAUGAACAUGAAUCCAGCAAAAUCAAAUCACAAAUAGGACAAAAUACAAGGCAUGUUUAAAGGUUCGUAAGAUCACCUAGACAAUAUACAAAAAUGUGAAACUUGCACAUGACAUAAGGUUGAAUGCGAAAAAGGUUUGGGUAAACAUUUAACCCUAAAUCAUAAUGCAAAGAAGUCACACAAGUCAUUAACAUUGCAAAGUGACUUGGAACUGAGAAUGUCAUGCUUGACAAAUUCUAAUUGCAAUUAGCCAAAUGAGUGCAUGAUAUUCACAUCAAAAGAGAUUCAAAUAUGAUAUGCCAUGCAUUAAUGCGAAACUUGUAACACGUGUUUCGAAUGUCAAGAAGACAACGAGGCACAAGUUUCAUGCAUACAACUUCGUCAAAAAUGCAGCAAAAUAUCAGGAUGUCAUAACACAUUAAUAGUGAUUUGAUCUAAAAAGAAAAUCUGAAGAAUAUGAAAUUUUACCACAGCGCGAAUAAAGAAAGGCGAACAACAUUUGUUAAAGACCCAAUCUUAGAAUCCUUAACAAGAAAAUCAUAGAAGACUGACAAGAGGUUAGCUUCGACAAGGGAACAACAGGGGUUCUGAAUUUCAUUUUAUGACAGAUUUCUAUCAUGCGCAUCACCAGAGAAGUUGAGUCCAAUUGAUGUGCAAAUCAUGCAAAAUCAGCAUCAUAAGAAAGUGACAGACAAUCAGGCCCACAAUAACAGUAUAUGCAUUUCUGACCAAGGCAAAUUCCAGAUUUCAGAAUGGAUUAGAAAAAAUGUUAAACAUAGCAAACGAUGGUCGAUUCAGGCAUGCGAUAUAUCAUUUUAAAGCUUGAUAUGUCUAUUACAAAUCUCUAGAAGACAUUAAGUCCUAAUAAUAUCAUUUACCAGCUCGUUCCAAGGACCGAAGCAUAUCAGUCAAAACAUGCAUACGAAUUUCCACAUCAGAACAGAACACAACAAUUUUCCAGAAUUACUUCCUAGCUUUUAAAGAAAAUUCAUGUGGCUAAUGAUAUCGGAUCAGGGUGUAUUAUAAUUCGUUGGAAAGCUAGUCGAACCAUCUUCAGCUCUCAUGAAGGCUUCAAACACAGAGAACCACAGCAACCAGCUCGUAUCAGGUCAUUUACACAAAAGGUCAUCCGAAACAGAGAAUCAAUCAGAACAGCAAAAAUUUCAAACAAGGUCAGGGAUAUUCUAGACAUACUCGACCUGGGUAAAUGAUCUUCAAUUAUCACGAAAUUUUUAUUUGAUAUAGAUUGGAACCUAAUGAACAACUUUCAUUUAGGCAUCAACUUUAGAAUCUAAUCACAAAAAAUCAUGUGAAAAUGGCAAACAGCACAGGUCAUUAAAGGCAUGAAAACAGAACACUUAAUCAUUUACAAACUGUAGCUCCGUUUUUAACAAUUGUUGAAUCUAGUAAAUGCUGACCAAAUCCAAGAACUCUCGGCAUCUAUUACGAAAUAUUAAGAAAGAAGCAAAAUCUACCCAAACAUGCCCGCAUGCUGACACAAUCACAAUGUCUACAGAUUGAAAUUAGCAGAACUUCAUCAAAAGAACACAUUACAAAGUGCACAUUUUUGUACCAUAUGAGGAGGUAGACAAAAGGACUACAACAACAUAACCCAUAUAGAACAGAGCAGCAAAACAGCAAAACAGAACCAAUCUAAGACAGAAUUCAUCUAAUCUAUACUUAAUCCACAACUUCCAGCAUGCAAUCGAAAUGGUAACAUAGCAUAUGAGACUACAAAUUGUGAUUGUUUGAUGACAAAUUGCCAUGAAAUUGAAGCCAUAUUUUCUCACAAGCAUGAAUGAGUCUAUUUGAUCAAAAUGGCAUCAAUCCAUAACCAAACCACCCUCAAGUUGGAAUCAAAUCCACACCGAAUCAUGGGAUAUCAAAACAUGGUCAGCAUCUGGUAUAUGUAAUCUCGUAACUACUACAAUUGCAAAAAAAAAAAAAAAAACCAAGAACAGCCGACAGCAAUCCCAACAUAUCAUUUGCUUUAAAAGCUUUCAAACAUAAUAUGAAUGGCAGCUUAAAUCAAAGGUUAUGAUCAUUAAACUCUGCUGCCAGAAUAUCUACACCAAAAAAAGUCAGAUGCAAAGGAACCAGCAACCUUUUUCUGUUUACCUGCAUAUGUCACAUAGAAAACUAUGUAUGCCAACUGAAAAAUUGCACCCGUGGAGUUCACCAUCAUGACCAGCAUGUUGUCACUCGAUAUUACCGGCGUGCCAUGUGCAAAGCGAGACUAUACUAACCCCAACCACAGCCAUGAUCACUUACAAGUCGCAGCACUUCUAGGUUGGACUGACAGAACACUACCGAAACUACCGAAUGAAAACUAAAGGUAAAUCCAUGUUAUUGCUCUACAUAAAAGAAACACGAGACAAAGCAAUCGAACCACAGAGCAAUCCAAAAGAGAGAGCGACAGAUCGUGCACGAGACAGAGCAAUCAAGAGAGAGAAAGAGAGAGAAAGAGAACCUGAUCCGGCUAGCCCGAUCUAGAAAGAAAACCACCGAUCGAGCGAGCAGACGUCCGAUCUCCGAGAAAGAACCAAAUCCUCACGAUCUCCAACCGCCGGCGCUCGAUCUCCGAUUGCACGCCAAUGGAGGAAAACCUUCGCCUUCGACCAGAGCUCGGGAAAGAAAAGCAAAAACCGAGAGAUCCAGAGAGGGAGCUCUGAGAGAGAAUCGAGAACUGAGAGUCUCUCUGCUCGAGCAAGCUAACCUCCGAUCUCUAGAAAGAGAGACAGAUCUGCUGUCGCCGUCGUCGUCGAUGUCGCCGAUCAGAGAGCCGAACCUGCUCGAGAGCCACCAAGAGAGAAAAACGAAGAACCAGAGAGAUCA